This 450-nucleotide ribosomal RNA is filed under the name uncultured bacterium. RNAcentral's name for it is "partial 16S ribosomal RNA". It matches the Rfam family "Bacterial small subunit ribosomal RNA", at positions 354 to 796 of the family's 1533-position model. The record is from RNAcentral.
GUGGGGAAUCUUCCGCAAUGGACGAAAGUCUGACGGAGCAAUGCCGCGUGAACGAUGACGGCCUUCGGGUUGUAAAGUUCUGUUAUACGGGACGAAUGGUACGACGGUCAAUACCCGUCGUAAGUGACGGUACCGUAAGAGAAAGCCACGGCUAACUACGUGCCAGCAGCCGCGGUAAUACGUAGGUGGCAAGCGUUGUCCGGUAUUAUUGGUCGUAAAGGGCGCGCAGGCGGCGUCGUAAGUCGGUCUUAAAAGUGCGGGGCUCAACUCCGUGAGGGGACCGAAACUGCGAUGCUAGAGUAUCGGAGAGGAAAGCGGAAUUCCUAGUGUAGCGGUGAAAUGCGUAGAUAUUAGGAGGAACACCAGUGGCGAAAGCGGCUUUCUGGACGACAACUGACGCUGAGGCGCGAAAGCCAGGGGAGCAAACAGGAUUAGAAACCCGGGUAGUCC